Molecule: non-coding RNA, 3685 nt
Organism: Misgurnus anguillicaudatus (oriental weatherfish)
Lineage: Eukaryota; Metazoa; Chordata; Actinopteri; Cypriniformes; Cobitidae
Source: RefSeq, a predicted model, not a curated record
GCAUUUUUUUGACCAUUUUUUCUGUCUAACUAAUAUAAUUUGAAGAAAAUUAGGAAUGUUUUGUAUUAAAUAAUAGAUGUUUAAACAACAACUUGAACAAAGUCUGUCUAUCAAAUGGACUCGCAAGUAGGCUAUAUAUACAGUAUCAAUCUAUUAUAACUUAAUUUAUCGAAUGUAAAAUAUUAUAGGCCUAAUACAAAAUAAAAAAAGUUGGAUACUUUUAAACCAGUAAUGAACACAACAUCCCAUUUGUCACAAUAAAAUCAUGGGCCAGCAUCUACUUAAACUUGCUCUACUUUAACUCCGCUGUAUUGAAAAAUGAUUAUUGUACAAUUCCAUGUUGCCCACACUGUUCCUUCAGUUCAGAGUUGCCCAGGGGUAAUGAUUUGUUUUGAAACAACAUUGCAAACAGCGUAUCGCGCAGAGGUGUCUUGAGAAUGCCUUUGCUGCCCUUUCGGGGUCCUUAAAGUUACUGUAGCAUGUAAUUGUGGCAGGAGAGCCAGCGAAGGGCGAAUUGGAUGGUAGAGAGUAUUGGCACAAACUGGGUUCUCAACAGUAAUAGAUGCCUCUUUAUGAAGGCUGGGCAAUUUUGUUCAAUAACAAUCAAAUUUUCAAUCUGGAGAUUGAGACCAUGGUACGAAGUUAUGAAGGAUACAAAUUGAACUGCUGAGGAAACUUUGUGGACAGAUAAAAUUGCAUUAGCAUAUUGUGGGUAUUGUUUUGUUUACAUUUAGCUAACGUUACGUGGUCAAGUGUUUAAUAAAAAUAUAUUCCUGUGUCCACUGCUUCGGUCGAAUGGACCGGCCUUACAACGAAUUAAAACUUAUGUCAGAUAUACUACUGGACAGCCUCAACUUUUAGCAUUAGACUUUAUGGCGAUAGAAAAGGACUUAUUGUUGUACAACAGAGUGAUCUAACUUUUCUUAAGGAAAGAAAGGAGGAUGGAUUUUGUUUACAAAUAAUCCACAGGCUAAUUUGGUGAGAUUAAUGCAUUUUAUUUAGUAAGCAAAUAAUAUUUGUAAAAUGUACAUUUUGUGAAUAUCACUUUUUUGAUAGUAAACCUUUGAAAAACUCUUUGCAUUGUCUUUGCAUAAUAGACUGUCAGCAAAGUAAUUUGUUAUAGCAUACUUUUGAUUCUGCAAAACACUUGGUAAGCUGUUUUAAAAAAACAUUUAUGCUAUUUUCUUUGACGAGUUUGACUUCAUUUCAAAUACUUUUCAAAUGGGUUUCUUUAUAAUAUUCACUGCAUCUCAUUUUGUAGUGUCUUUUUAUAAUAAAGUAAAAUUUGUCUCUUAUUCCUUGAGGUGUAAUAUACAGUAAUGUCUAUUUUACUUUACAAUUUAACGGUUGAUGUGUUUCUAUUGCCGUGAUGUCAUAAUGACGGUAUUACGAAAUGUAUUAAUUCAGAUAGAUUGCCACUUAUAUAUGUAAUGAUUAUCUUAAAGACUUGUUUUAAAUCUCUUUAUCUCUUUGGUUUACAAGAAUUUAACUCAUUAAAAUAGAAAAUCUCCACACAAAAAUUAAAGCUGCAAUUUUUUUCUAUUCCCAAAAUAGGUGAUCUUGCAUCAGCAAAACCCUGGAGUGCACCGCGAAUUCAUUCUCCCUGUAGAAAAGCAUUCAAACCCACAGCAUCCUCAUUACAACACACCUGGAGACAUGAACAGUACAUCGUACUUAGAUUUUCCAUGAAAGGUCAACAAGCUCUCGGACUAAAUAUAAAACAUCUUAAACUGUGUUCCGAAGAUGAACGGAGGUCUUACGAGUUUGGAACGACAUUAGGGUGGGACAUUGAUGAGCCGUCUGAAUGCAGUGAAACAUAUAGCCACAUUACACAAGUGCUCUGCAGGCUGACAAUUGCCAGGCGAACACUGACAGUGUCACCAAAUUUCCGGUAUCUCCUGUCCCUGACUGUUACCACCUGUCAGCUGCAGAUAUCCAGCAUGCAGAUUUGCAUUGACUAGACCCAAAGAGAUGACAUCUGUCAAUUACAGUAUGCAGAAUUUACCUUGAGUCUGUUAUUCCCUGAGGUGAACGUGGUUGGAGUACAUUCCUUAUAACUAUUUUUGAACAUGUUUCAGGUUCAUUAAAAAAAAAAAACUCUCUGUGCAUAAUUUGGUAAAAUUGCCUGAAUGUGCUUAAAGCGCUUAUUAAGUGCUUUAGUGUCAAAGAUUUGCCAGUAGUCUCCUGUUGAUAGGACGUGCACAGCUUGCCACCAGCAAAUGUUGUGUUGUGGAUGCUGGCCGCCAGCAUGGGAUACUGUGUGUUACAGUAAUUACUUAACUGGCUCUUUUAAAGAAUAACUAAACCAUAAACCGACUUUUUUUAGUUAAUGAUCUGUAAAAAUGCGGCUUUAUUAGUGCUGUUCAUUGAUUUGAGUAACUUUUUUGACAUUUGGGUAUAAAGUGUUUCAAUGCUACAAUAUACACUCACCUAAAGGAUUAUUAGGAACACCUAUUCAAUUUCUCAUUAAUGCAAUUAUCUAUUCAACCAGUCACAUGGCAGUUGCUUCAAUGCAUUUUGGGGUGUGGUCCUGGUCAAGACAAUCUCCUGAACUUCAAACUGAAUUUCAGAAUGAGCGUGGCAUUGUUGUUGGUGCCAGACCGGCCGGUCUGAGUAUUUCACAAUUUGCUCAGUUACUGGGAUUUUCAGACGCAACCAUUUCUAGGGUUUACAAAGAAUAAUGUGAAAAGAGAAAAACAUCCAGUAUGCGGCAGUCCUGUGGGCGAAAAUGCCUUGUUGAUGCUAGAGGUCAGAGGAGAAUGGGCCGAGUGAUUCAAGCUGAUAGAAGAGCAACUUUGACUGAAAUAACCACUCGUUACAACCAAAGUAUGCAGCAAAGCAUUUGUGAAGCCACAACAUGCACAGCUUGAGGCGGAUGGGCUACAACAGCAGAAGACCCCAGCGGGUACCACUCAUCUCCACUACAAAUAGGAAAAAGAGGCUACAAUUUGCACGAGCUCACCAAAAUUGGACAGUUGAAGACUGGAAAAAUGUUGCCUGGUCUGAUGAGUCUCGAUUUCUGUUGAGACAUUCAGAUGGAAAAGUCAGAAUCAUGCCUUGUUACCACUGUGCAGGCUGGUGGUGGUGUAAUGGUGUGGGGGAUGUUUUCUUGGCACACUUUAGGCCCCUUAGUGCCAAUUGGGCAUCGUUUAAAUGCCACGGCCUACCUGAGCAUUGUUUCUGACCAUGUCUUACCCUUUAUGACGACCUUGUACCCAUCCUCUGAUGGCUAUUUUCAGCAGGAUAAUGCACCAUGUCACAAAGCUCGAAUCAUUUCAAACUGGUUUCUUGAACAUGACAAUGAGUUCACUGUACUAAAAUGGCCCCCACAGUCACCAGAUCUCAACCCAAUAGAGCAUCUUUGGGAUGUGGUGGACCGGGAGCUUCGUGCCCUGGAUGUGCGUCCCACAAAUCUCCAUCAACUGCAAGAUGCUAUCCUAUCCUAAAGAAUGCUUUCAGCACCUUGUUGAAUCAAUGCCACAUAGAAUUAAGGCAGUUCUGAAGGCAAAAGGGGGUCAAACACAGUAUUAGUAUGGUGUUCCUAUUAAUCCUUUAGGUGAGUGUAUGGUGUAAAAACGUCUGAGUGCUGCCCUCUUCAGGUUGAACAAUGGCUACUGCAGUUAAAUUUUCCUGUUGGAUGUUGUGGUACCGCGUGAUGUAAGUGGUACGACCCUACGUAAGCAGG